This 250-nucleotide ribosomal RNA is filed under the name uncultured bacterium. RNAcentral's name for it is "partial 16S ribosomal RNA". It matches the Rfam family "Bacterial small subunit ribosomal RNA", at positions 524 to 773 of the family's 1533-position model. The record is from RNAcentral.
GACGUAGGGGCCGAGCGUUGUCCGGAGUUACUGGGCGUAAAGGGCGCGCAGGCGGCCGGUCGCAUCGGCGGUGAAAGCCCCCCGCUCAACGGGGGAGGGUCCGUCGAGAUGGAUCGGCUGGAGGCAGGGAGAGGGCGGUGGAAUUCCGGGUGUAGUGGUGAAAUGCGUAGAGAUCCGGAGGAACACCAGUGGCGAAGGCGGCCGCCUGGACCUGACCUGACGCUGAGGCGCGAAGGCGUGGGGAGCGAAC